This 391-nucleotide ribosomal RNA is filed under the name uncultured Scuticociliatia. RNAcentral describes it as "partial small subunit ribosomal RNA". It matches the Rfam family "Eukaryotic small subunit ribosomal RNA", at positions 30 to 432 of the family's 1831-position model. The record is from RNAcentral. Lineage: Eukaryota; Ciliophora; Oligohymenophorea.
GCUUGUCUCAAAGAUUAAGCCAUGCAUGUCUAAGUAUAAACAAAUCUAUACUGUGAAACUGCGAAUGGCUCAUUAUAUCAGUUAUAGUUUCUUUGAUGGUUCUUACUACUUGGAUAACCGUAGUAAUUCUAGAGCUAAUACAUGCAUGAACCCCCGACUUUUGAAGGGGUGUAUUUAUUAGACUUAAGCCAAUAUUCCUUGUGUCUAUUGCGAUGAUUCAUAAUAACUGAUCGAAUCUCAAAUUUGAGAUAAAUCAUUCAAGUUUCUGCCCUAUCAGCUUUCGAUGGUAGGGUAUUGGCCUACCAUGGCGUUAACGGGUAACGGAGAAUUAGGGUUCGAUUCCGGAGAGGGAGCCUGAGAAACGGCUACCACAUCCAAGGAAGGCAGCAGG